AAAAGUCUCUAUCGAGGUUAAAGGUACCCGUACCGCAAACCGACACAGGUGGGUGAGGAGAGUAUCCUAAGGCUAGCGAGAGAACUGUUGUUAAGGAACUCGGCAAAAUGACCCCGUAACUUAGGGAUAAGGGGUGCCACCAUCAGGUGGCCGCAGAGAAUAGGCCCAAGCGACUGUUUACCAAAAACAUAGGUUUCUGCUAAGUCGCAAGACGAUGUAUAGGAGCUGACGCCUGCCCGGUGCUGGAAGGUUAAGGGGAUCUGUUAGAGCAAUCGAAGCAGUGAACUUAAGCCCCAGUAAACGGCGGCCGUAACUAUAACGGUCCUAAGGUAGCGAAAUUCCUUGUCGGGUAAGUUCCGACCCGCACGAAAGGCGUAACGAUUUGGGCACUGUCUCAACAACAGACUCGGUGAAAUUGUAAUUCCGGUGAAGAUGCCGGAUACCUGCGACAGGACGGAAAGACCCCAUGGAGCUUUACUGUAGCUUGACAUUGGGUCUUGGUACUACAUGUACAGGAUAGGUGGGAGGCUUUGAAACCAGGACGCCAGUUUUGGCGGAGCCAUCCUUGGGAUACCACCCUUGUAGUACUGGGACUCUAACCAUAGGCCAUGAAUCUGGUCUUGGGACACUGUCAGGUGGGCAGUUUGACUGGGGCGGUCGCCUCCCAAAAGGUAACGGAGGCGCUCAAAGGUUCUCUCAGUACGGUCGGAAAUCGUACGUAGAGUGUAAAGGCAAAAGAGAGCUUGAUUGCAAGACAUACAGGUCGAGCAAGGAUGAAAAUCGGACUUAGUGAUCCGGUGGUUCUGCGUGGAAGGGCCAUCGCUCAACGGAUAAAAGCUACCCUGGGGAUAACAGGCUUAUCUCCCCCAAGAGUCCACAUCGACGGGGAGGUUUGGCACCUCGAUGUCGGCUCAUCACAUCCUGGGGCUGUAGUAGGUCCCAAGGGUUGGGCUGUUCGCCCAUUAAAGUGGUACGCGAGCUGGGUUCAGAACGUCGUGAGACAGUUCGGUCCCUAUCCGUCGCAGGCGUAGGAAAUUUGAGAAGACCUGUCCUUAGUACGAGAGGACCGGGAUGGACGUACCUCUGGUGUACCAGUUGUCCUGCCAAGGGCAUGGCUGGGUAGCUAUGUACGGAAUGGAUAAGCGCUGAAAGCAUCUAAGCGCGAAGCCAACUUCAAGAUAAGAUUUCCCACCGCAAGGGUAAGACCCCAGAAAGACUAUCUGGUUGAUAGGUCGAAGGUGUAAGUGCAGCAAUGUAUUUAGCUUAUCGAUACUAAUAG
RNAcentral lists this ribosomal RNA (1279 nucleotides) under Clostridioides difficile. RNAcentral's name for it is "partial 23S ribosomal RNA". It matches the Rfam family "Bacterial large subunit ribosomal RNA", at positions 1613 to 2907 of the family's 2925-position model. The record is from RNAcentral. Lineage: Bacteria; Bacillati; Bacillota; Clostridia; Peptostreptococcales; Peptostreptococcaceae.